AUACAAACUUAAACUUUGGGAGGGAUCAUUCUACUUCUAACAUCGCAUUAUGCAAGAAGUAAAACAUAAAGAAUAGCAUUCACAUAGUUGUGACACAGUAUGGCCCAUUUUCUUAUGGUGAUCUCCAUCUCCAUGUUCCAUGUGCGCCAUCCUCCUGGUGAUGAGUCCUCCAAGAACUAGAACAUGCUAUUGCACCUAAUAGAUACUAAUGAAGAUAACAUAGUUGCUUGGAUCAUCACAGAUUGGUACGCAGACCAUUAAAUAUAUUAAAGUGACAACAGAUAUGGCUCCAGCCGUGUUGCCAUACACGUGACACGCAGGUCACAAAUGAGUUACACACAUGCAUCACAUACACAAAGGGACCAUACUGAUCACAAGAUCCAUC
Molecule: long non-coding RNA, 385 nt
Filed under: Setaria viridis
Lineage: Eukaryota; Viridiplantae; Streptophyta; Magnoliopsida; Poales; Poaceae
Description: long non-coding RNA (SVIR_LNC006862)
Source: RNAcentral